This 72-nucleotide transfer RNA is filed under the name Camelus bactrianus (Bactrian camel). It matches the Rfam family "tRNA". Rfam says of the family: Transfer RNA (tRNA) molecules are approximately 80 nucleotides in length. RNAcentral also lists the same sequence under 2 other names. Lineage: Eukaryota; Metazoa; Chordata; Mammalia; Artiodactyla; Camelidae. The record is from Rfam by way of RNAcentral.
GAGGGUAUAGCACAGUGGUAGAAUGCAUGCUUAGCAUGCACAAGGUCCUGGGUUCAAUCCCCAGUACCUCUA